GACGAACGCUGGCGGCGUGCUUAACACAUGCAAGUCGAACGAUGAAGCUGGAGCUUGCUCCAGUGGAUUAGUGGCGAACGGGUGAGUAACACGUGAGCAAUCUGCCCUUGACUCUGGGAUAACUGCGGGAAACUGUAGCUAGUACCGGAUACGACACCUUGGGGCAUCCCGGGGUGUGGAAAGAAUUUCGGUCAAGGAUGAGCUCGCGGCCUAUCAGCUUGUUGGGGAGGUAAAGGCUCACCAAGGCGACGACGGGUAGCCGGCCUGAGAGGGUGACCGGCCACACUGGAACUGAGACACGGUCCAGACUCCUACGGGAGGCAGCAGUGGGGAAUAUUGCACAAUGGGCGAAAGCCUGAUGCAGCAACGCCGCGUGAGGGAUGACGGCCUUCGGGUUGUAAACCUCUUUUAGCAGGGAAGAAGCGAAAGUGACGGUACCUGCAGAAAAAGCACCGGCUAACUACGUGCCAGCAGCCGCCGUAA
RNAcentral lists this ribosomal RNA (483 nucleotides) under uncultured bacterium. RNAcentral's name for it is "partial 16S ribosomal RNA". It matches the Rfam family "Bacterial small subunit ribosomal RNA", at positions 28 to 523 of the family's 1533-position model. The record is from RNAcentral.